GUGGGGAAUAUUGGACAAUGGGCGAAAGCCUGAUCCAGCAAUGCCGCGUGAGUGAAGAAGGCCUUAGGGUUGUAAAGCUCUUUUACCCGGGAAGAUAAUGACUGUACCGGGAGAAUAAGCCCCGGCUAACUCCGUGCCAGCAGCCGCGGUAAUACGGAGGGGGCUAGCGUUGUUCGGAAUUACUGGGCGUAAAGCGCACGUAGGCGGCUUUGUAAGUUAGAGGUGAAAGCACAGGGCUCAACCCUGGAACUGCCUUUAAGACUGCAUCGCUUGAACACGGGAGAUGUGAGAGGAAUUCCGAGUGUAGAGUUGAAAUUCGUAGAUAUUCGGAAGAACACCAGUGGAGAAGGCGACUCACUGGACCGUUGUUGACGCUGAGGUGCGAAAGCGUGGGGAGCAAACAGGAUUAGAUACCCCGGUAGUCC
Molecule: ribosomal RNA, 425 nt
Filed under: uncultured bacterium
Lineage: Bacteria
Description: partial 16S ribosomal RNA
Rfam family: Bacterial small subunit ribosomal RNA
Source: RNAcentral